RNAcentral lists this ribosomal RNA (538 nucleotides) under Kluyveromyces lactis. Its description in RNAcentral is "LSU rRNA". It matches the Rfam family "Eukaryotic large subunit ribosomal RNA", at positions 66 to 644 of the family's 3401-position model. The record is from RNAcentral. Lineage: Eukaryota; Fungi; Ascomycota; Saccharomycetes; Saccharomycetales; Saccharomycetaceae.
CAACACGGGAUUGCCUUAGUAACGGCGAGUGAAGCGGCAAAAGCUCAAAUUUGAAAUCUGGCGUCUUCGACGUCCGAGUUGUAAUUUGAAGAAGGCAACUUUGUAGCUGGUCCUUGUCUAUGUUCCUUGGAACAGGACGUCAUAGAGGGUGAGAAUCCCGUGUGGCGAGGAUCCCAGUUAUUUGUAAAGUGCUUUCGACGAGUCGAGUUGUUUGGGAAUGCAGCUCUAAGUGGGUGGUAAAUUCCAUCUAAAGCUAAAUAUUGGCGAGAGACCGAUAGCGAACAAGUACAGUGAUGGAAAGAUGAAAAGAACUUUGAAAAGAGAGUGAAAAAGUACGUGAAAUUGUUGAAAGGGAAGGGCAUUUGAUCAGACAUGGCGUUUGCUUCGGCUUUCGCUGGGCCAGCAUCAGUUUUAGCGGUUGGAUAAAUCCUCGGGAAUGUGGCUCUGCUUCGGUAGAGUGUUAUAGCCCGUGGGAAUACAGCCAGCUGGGACUGAGGAUUGCGACUUUUGUCAAGGAUGCUGGCGUAAGGUUAAAUGC